ACGGGAGGCAGCAGUGGGGAAUAUUGCACAAUGGGGGAAACCCUGAUGCAGCGACGCCGCGUGAGUGAAGAAGUAUUUCGGUAUGUAAAGCUCUAUCAGCAGGGAAGAAAAUGACGGUACCUGACUAAGAAGCUCCGGCUAAAUACGUGCCAGCAGCCGCGGUAAUACGUAUGGAGCAAGCGUUAUCCGGAUUUACUGGGUGUAAAGGGAGCGUAGACGGGACAGCAAGUCUGAUGUGAAAGGCGGGGGCUUAACCCCUGGACUGCAUUGGAAACUGUUGACCUUGAGUGCCGGAGAGGUAAGCGGAAUUCCUAGUGUAGCGGUGAAAUGCGUAGAUAUUAGGAGGAACAUCAGUGGCGAAGGCGGCUUACUGGGCUUUAACUGACGCUGAGGCUCGAAAGCGUGGGGAGCAAACAGGAUUAGAUACCCUGGUA
This 434-nucleotide ribosomal RNA is filed under the name uncultured Lachnospiraceae bacterium. RNAcentral's name for it is "bacterial SSU rRNA". It matches the Rfam family "Bacterial small subunit ribosomal RNA", at positions 341 to 792 of the family's 1533-position model. Lineage: Bacteria; Bacillati; Bacillota; Clostridia; Lachnospirales; Lachnospiraceae. The record is from RNAcentral.